UACGUAGGGUGCGAGCGUUAAUCGGAAUUACUGGGCGUAAAGCGUGCGCAGGCGGUUUUGUAAGCCAGAUGUGAAAUCCCCGGGCUUAACCUGGAAAUGGCAUUUGGGACUGCAAGGCUGGAGUGCGGCAGAGGAGACUGGAAUUCCUGGUGUAGCAGUGAAAUGCGUAGAUAUCAGGAGGAAUACCGAUGGCGAAGGCAGGUCUCUGGGCUGACACUGACGCUCAUGCACGAAAGCGUGGGGAGCAAACAGG
Molecule: ribosomal RNA, 253 nt
Filed under: uncultured bacterium
Lineage: Bacteria
Description: partial 16S ribosomal RNA
Rfam family: Bacterial small subunit ribosomal RNA
Source: RNAcentral